GGCACUGUAGCUCAGUCGGUAGAGCACCUGCUUAACACGCAUGUUGUCCUCGGUUCGAGCCCGGGCAGAGUCA
Molecule: transfer RNA, 73 nt
Filed under: Cronartium comandrae C4
Lineage: Eukaryota; Fungi; Basidiomycota; Pucciniomycetes; Pucciniales; Coleosporiaceae
Description: tRNA-Val (AAC) (tRNA-Val-AAC-3-1)
Rfam family: tRNA
About the family: Transfer RNA (tRNA) molecules are approximately 80 nucleotides in length.
Source: RNAcentral